GUCUAUGGCCACACCACCCUGAACAUGCCUGAUCUCGUCUGAUCUCGGGAGCUUAGCAGGGUCGGGCCUGGUUAGUACUUGGAUGGGAGACCACCUGGGAAUACUGGGUGCCGUAGGCU
This 119-nucleotide ribosomal RNA is filed under the name Aotus nancymaae (Ma's night monkey). Lineage: Eukaryota; Metazoa; Chordata; Mammalia; Primates; Aotidae. The record is from RNAcentral.